GGAGAGAUGGCUGAGUGGUCGAAGGCGCCCGCCUCGAAAGCGGGUAGGGGUUUACGCCCCUCGCGAGUUCGAAUCUCGCUCUCUCCGCCA
Molecule: transfer RNA, 90 nt
Filed under: Bacillota bacterium
Lineage: Bacteria; Bacillati; Bacillota
Description: Firmicutes bacterium (anaerobic digester metagenome) tRNA-Ser
Rfam family: tRNA
About the family: Transfer RNA (tRNA) molecules are approximately 80 nucleotides in length. Their secondary structure includes four short double-helical elements and three loops (D, anti-codon, and T loops).
Source: RNAcentral